UACAGAGGUCUCAAGCGUUGUUCGGAUUCAUUGGGCGUAAAGGGUGCGUAGGUGGCGCCGUAAGUCAGGUGUGAAAUUUCGGAGCUUAACUCCGAAACUGCAUUUGAUACUGCGGUGCUUGAGGACUGGAGAGGAGACUGGAAUUUACGGUGUAGCAGUGAAAUGCGUAGAGAUCGUAAGGAAGACCAGUGGCGAAGGCGGGUCUCUGGACAGUUCCUGACACUGAGGCACGAAGGCCAGAGGAGCAAACGGG
RNAcentral lists this ribosomal RNA (253 nucleotides) under uncultured bacterium. RNAcentral describes it as "partial 16S ribosomal RNA". It matches the Rfam family "Bacterial small subunit ribosomal RNA", at positions 524 to 776 of the family's 1533-position model. The record is from RNAcentral.